AUGCAGAUCGGUUCAAAUUUCGUGACAUUCGUAAAAUACUUUAGUUCCUAAACCUAGUGCAACAUCAGUUAUUAACAUUUAUUUUAGAAAAUCCGACAUUUUCGAACUAACUCGUAAUGCAAUACGGACCAGAAUGAGUAACUGUUCACGUUCUGUUAGGAGAGAUGAGUUGCUCUGCCGGAUGUGACGUCACAUGCCCAGUAGCCAAUCCUAGGAAUCUUCUGCAAACCACAACCGCAAGUCUGGCCCUCUUUCCUCACUUCUUCAACGCUCGAAGUGCUGAAAGUGUUUAACUGUUCGUUAGUUUUCAGGCUAGCUGGGGAUGGCAGCAGCUAUCUCAGUAUCUCAGGAACUGCUGACCUGUUCCGUGUGUCUAGACAUUCUGAAGGAGCCCGUCUCUCUCCCAUGUGGACACAGCUUCUGUAUGGCAUGCAUUUUAUUCUGCUGGGAUCGAAAAGGAGUGAACAGCUGCCCACAGUGCAGAAAGACCUUCAACCCGAGGCCCGAUUUGUCUAAAAAUAUUAUGUUGGCUGAACUCGUGGAACUUUUAAUGAAAACGGGACUCGGUGCGGCUUUGUCUCAACGUUAUGCAGGUCCCGUGGGAGUUUUGUGUGACAUGUGUAUAGGAAAGAAGCUCACCGCCGUGCAAUUGUGUUUGACUUGCGAGUUGGCCUUCUGUGAGACUCACAUGUGGCUUCAUCCUAAGAUUAUGGAUUGGAAAUAUUACAAAAUGAAUACUCCUCCUAGAAGUCUACAGGAGAAAGUCUGCACCAAACACCAGAAGGCACUGGAAUAUUUUUGCAGAAAUGACAACACUUGGAUCUGCUUCUUGUGUGUUGCCACCAGUCACCGGAGCCAUGAGACUGUGGAACUAGGAACAGUAAGUGCUGAGAAAAAGCAGAGAGAAAUGUUUGACGCACCAUCUUUUGGAACGACUGAGACAUGGCAACCAGAUGGACCCACAAACCCAUACCUCAUUUGUUGUGGAUUAUUGGUCAGGAUGAAGGGGAUAUUAAAAGGAAUACAGCACAGAAUUCAGGAGAGAGAGAAAAAACAGGAAGAGAUGAAAGGAGCCUUGGAACGCAUCAAGGUUUUUGCAGACAAGAAUUUGCAAGAAUGUGACGAAGCCAUUUCUGUUCUAAUCUACACCUUGGUGGAAGGCUUGAAAACAUUUACAGAGAAGAUAGAAGUGAAAAAGGCAGAAGUGGAGCAGCUAAAGAAGAAGAUUGAAGAGCUGGAGAGGGCAGAAACUGAGCAUUCUGAGACUGAUGAUGAAAUCCAGUUCCUCUGGGUGAGACUCUUGCUUUGCACAGGAUAUAAAAAUUACACUUUGACUGGUUUACUUUCACAUUUUUAUGUGUUUUUUUCUAGAAAUACCCAUCUCCGGAUGUCCCACCUAGUAGCAAAAACUGCUUGACAUCAAAUCAGGAAGGCGUUCCAGCAGCCUGCUAUCGCAUCUAUCUAAGAUAAAAAAUAACCUGGAGAAGAUAGGACACUCAUCAGCAAGUGCCGUGUCAGAAGCCUUCAUGUAUUCAACAAAAUGGGCAGUGAGAUCUCUCCCAUGAUCAGCGUUCACCCACUAUUCUGUGACCUUAAACUGGAACCUAAAGAGGAUCAAGAACUUUCUUUUUUAGGAGAAGAUGGCAAUCGUAAGACAGUUGGAGAAAAUACAUUUAAUUUUCAGUCAUCUAGUGUAAAGGUCCAAACUGGUCUCGCAUCCACUUCUGUUUUCUGAGAAGUCAGCGACCCAAACUUCCAGCCUGUUGACAUUCAAAGCCACUGGGUCUUCAACAGUUGAGCAAAUCUUGGAUGCAACAAAACCAUCAUCCUGGUAUAAUUUUUAAAAGCACGUCAUAUGGUAAAAAAAUUUUUUUAAAAGGUAUUGGAUGACACGUCCUAAACAUUUCAUCAAAUUUUGAAUGGCUACAGUGUAUGAAAACAAUGUUUUGAUUUUUUUACAAAAUGUUUUUUUAUCUGUUGCUUCCUGAAUAUUUCAAAUAAAGUUCAGGAAUAUAGAGAGACAUAACACAGGAAAGCCAUAAAGAAUACUGCUGUGUUUUUCUCUUCUUUGUUUAAACCUAGUAAUGUUAAAAGUGACCAAAGAUUCAUUGUAUACAAGUUCAAAUGUUACUUAAUACUUUUUAACAAGAAGCAAAAAAAAAAAAAAAGAAGAAAA
RNA transcript from Erpetoichthys calabaricus (reedfish), 2176 nucleotides. It is a transcript of the gene named E3 ubiquitin/ISG15 ligase TRIM25-like, with no coding region annotated. Lineage: Eukaryota; Metazoa; Chordata; Cladistia; Polypteriformes; Polypteridae. The record is from RefSeq and is a predicted model, not a curated record. The transcript has 6 exons.